Molecule: ribosomal RNA, 384 nt
Filed under: Tripterygion delaisi
Lineage: Eukaryota; Metazoa; Chordata; Actinopteri; Blenniiformes; Tripterygiidae
Description: partial 12S ribosomal RNA
Rfam family: Bacterial small subunit ribosomal RNA
Source: RNAcentral
GCUCGGCGUAAAGAGUGGUUAAAUUUAUUAUAAACUAAAGCCGAACCUCCUCAGAACUGUUAUACGUACCCGAGAUUAGGAAGCCCUUAGACGAAAGUAGCUUUAACAUUUUUGACCCCACGGAAGCCGGGGAACAAACUGGGAUUAGAUACCCCACUAUGCCCAGCCGUAAACAUUGGUAGCACAAGUACAAGUGCUAUUCGCCUGGGUACUACGAGCACUAGCUUAAAACCCAAAGGACUUGGCGGUGCUUAAGACCCCCCUAGAGGAGCCUGUUCUAGAACCGAUAACCCCCGUUAAACCUCACCCUUCCUUGUUAGUCCCGCCUAUAUACCGCCGUCGUCAGCUUACCCUGUGAGGGAUCUAUAGUGAGCAAGAUCAGCA